GACGAACGCUGGCGGCGUGCUUAACACAUGCAAGUCGAACGGAAAGGCCCUGCUCUUGUGCGGCGCUCGAGUGCCGAACGGGUGAGUAACACGUGAGUAACAUGCCCCUGUCUUACGGAUAACUUCAGGAAACUGCGGCUAUUACCGGAUAGGAGCUCCUGCUGCAUGGUGGGGGAUGGAAAGUUUCGGCUGUUGGGGAUGGACUAGCGGCUUAUGAGCUUGUUGGUGGGGUAGGGGCUUACCAAGGCUUUGAGGGGUAGGCGGCCUGGGAGGGCGACCGGGCACAAUAGUACUGAGAUAGGGCGCAGACGCGAAUGGGAGGCAGCGGGGGAGAGUAUUACAGAACGGGCGGAAGCGAGAGGUAGCAACGCCGCGUGCGGGAUGACGUCCUUCGGGUUGUAAACCGCUGUGGACUGUGACGAAGCGUUAGUGACGGUACUGGGUAAAGAAGCACCGGCUAACUACGUG
This 468-nucleotide ribosomal RNA is filed under the name uncultured bacterium. Its description in RNAcentral is "partial 16S ribosomal RNA". It matches the Rfam family "Bacterial small subunit ribosomal RNA", at positions 28 to 507 of the family's 1533-position model. The record is from RNAcentral.